AACGGUCGGCAGGCGAUCCGCGUCGGUCAAGCGAGAGGUGGUAUGGCUCCCCGUAGGCCGGUUCUUGUGCUGCCUACCCCUUGAGGGGAAGCGGGCCACUCGAUGUAAGCCUCCAUCCGGCGCCCUCCAACGGGCGCAGGAGGACAACGGAGCACCCCCCGCGUUCCACCGAGCCUCAGCCGGUCGCGUGGCGCGCGGGGACGUGCGAUGCUCUCGGACCCAGCGAACGCCGUGGGCGAGGACUCACGUCCCAGUCCCUAUAGAAGCUCCGACAAAAUGCAGACGGCCGCUCCCGACCCCGACCGCCCCGGCGGCGCGGGGGCGAGGCGCGGCGUCGCGGAGGAAUGCUACCU
RNAcentral lists this unclassified non-coding RNA (353 nucleotides) under Acacia lysiphloia. RNAcentral describes it as "partial external transcribed spacer". The record is from RNAcentral. Lineage: Eukaryota; Viridiplantae; Streptophyta; Magnoliopsida; Fabales; Fabaceae.